RNAcentral lists this long non-coding RNA (1087 nucleotides) under Numida meleagris (helmeted guineafowl). Its description in RNAcentral is "lncRNA (ENSNMEG00000018421.1)". The record is from RNAcentral. Lineage: Eukaryota; Metazoa; Chordata; Aves; Galliformes; Numididae.
UGGAAGAGUUCAGAGACUUUGAGAAAUAAAAUGGACUAAAAGAAGAACAGAGACUAGUCACCAGCCUGAUGUAACCAAUAAUCAGUCAGCAGGAGAGUUCUGCAGGGCUCCGUUUCAGAACAAGUUCUCUUUAUCAUUUUUGUAAAUGACUGGAAUGCAGGAUUCAAAGGCAUACAAAAUAAAUUAGCAAGGGGCACAAAACUGAGAAGUCACUGGCUCUUUCAAGGCUAUAGCGGCCUUACAGAGAGGUCUUGAUAAAUUAGAGGGUUACAGACCCUCGAAUUGUACUCAUACAUACUCUACUUUUCAUCUUACCUGUAAGACAUUAUCCCGACUCCUUCUCAUGCCUUAUUUUCAUAAUUCAUGCUGCUGACUUGGGUAAUGACAAAGGUUAAUUGAAAGACCUGUUAAUGAGAAACUGGCCUUAAUUGUGUGUUUGUGUAAUUUUGGUCUGGCAAGAAUCAUAGUGGAUUAUUUUCACCUCUUUCGGGAGUUAAUGGCACAUGAAAAAUGUCAAGGAAUGUGAAACCUUUGGAAAUCUCAGUGAUAGCAAUGGUACUGGAGUCAGAAGGCAUGGGAGGCUUGGGCUUCUGCUGUGUUUCUGUCUGAAGGUGUUCUUUUUUUUUGGGGGGGGGGGGGGAUCAUAGCUGCUCUUUUCUGUAAAGAUAUAAGGGGGUGAUGCUCUUCAUCAUUUGGCAUCCACCAGCCGUUCCUGGCUGUGAAGAGAGAACUUUUGCAGAAGGAAGUCUGGGACUGUUUUCUUUAAAUUUGCUGUGAGAGGUGAAAUGAUUGGGAAAGAGCAAGAAGAAAGUCCUUAGGAGCUAUGUGUGAAAAUGCCUUUUUUUGGUACACCCCACACCGCUGUUAUACAAACAAGUUUAGGAGCCAGUGUAGCGGUGCUGAGCAAAGACCUGCUCAGGCACCGCCUGUCCUGGGGUGGGCAGGGCUGGUGGCUGCAGGCAGCAGUGGCGGGUGCAGGCCUGGGCUGGGCCUCACCCUGUGGGGCAAAGCCGUUCCCACUGGGGAGAGUGGGAGGGGACACAGGAGUCCCAGGACAGACCCUGAAGUACCAAAGAUGGAGAGUUAA